UACAGAGACUGCAAGCGUUACUCGGAUUCACUGGGCGUAAAGGGAGCGCAGGCGGACCGAUGUGUCGGAUGUGAAACCCCAGGGCUCAACCCUGGGACUGCGUCCGAAACUGUCGGUCUAGGGACUCGGAGGGGCUAGUGGAAUUCCUGGUGGAGCAGUGAAAUGCGUAGAUAUCAGGAGGAACACCAACGGCGAAGGCAGCUAGCUGGACGAGAUCCGACGCUCAGGCUCGAAAGUAUGGGGAGCAAAAAGGAUUAGAAACCCCCGUAGUCC
RNAcentral lists this ribosomal RNA (273 nucleotides) under uncultured bacterium. RNAcentral describes it as "partial 16S ribosomal RNA". It matches the Rfam family "Bacterial small subunit ribosomal RNA", at positions 524 to 796 of the family's 1533-position model. The record is from RNAcentral.